RNAcentral lists this ribosomal RNA (603 nucleotides) under Triticum aestivum (bread wheat). RNAcentral describes it as "partial small subunit ribosomal RNA". The record is from RNAcentral. Lineage: Eukaryota; Viridiplantae; Streptophyta; Magnoliopsida; Poales; Poaceae.
AUGAGAGGAAUUCAACAUAGAAUUGACUUAAUUCCGGGAGCAAGUCUUCCUAAUCUUCCACACUAUCGAAUGAGCCCAAAGGAGCAUGGUAUAUUGAAGGAGAAAGUGGAGGAAUUGUUGCAAAAGGGGCACAUUCGAGAAAGUAUUAGCCCAUGUGUUGUACCAGCCCUACUCGCGCCAAAGAAAGAUGGAUCUUGGCGCAUGUGUACGGGCAGUAGAGCCGUUAACAAGAUCACCGUAAGGUAUAGAUUCCCUAUUCCCCGUCUGGAUGAUAUGUUGGAUCAGCUUAGUGGAGCAAGAGUGUUCACAAAGCUAGAUUUAAGAAGUGGAUAUCAUCAAAUCCGUAUAAGACCCGGGGAUGAAUGGAAGACCGCCUUCAAGACAAAGGAAGGGUUGUUUGAAUGGCUAGUCAUGCCAUUUGGACUCUCAAAUGCACCAAGUACCUUUAUGCACUUAAUGAAUCAAGUCCUUAGACCCUUCUUAUCCCACUUUGUUGUGGUCUAUUUCGAUGACAUCUUGAUCUAUAGCAAGGAUGAGGAUGAACACUUUGAUCACAUUCGGAAGGUGCUAGAAGUACUAAGUAGAAGUACUAAGGGAAAAUGA